RNAcentral lists this ribosomal RNA (425 nucleotides) under uncultured bacterium. Its description in RNAcentral is "partial 16S ribosomal RNA". It matches the Rfam family "Bacterial small subunit ribosomal RNA", at positions 354 to 796 of the family's 1533-position model. The record is from RNAcentral.
GUGGGGAAUCUUGCGCAAUGGGCGAAAGCCUGACGCAGCCAUGCCGCGUGAAUGAUGAAGGUCUUAGGAUUGUAAAAUUCUUUCACCGGGGACGAUAAUGACGGUACCCGGAGAAGAAGCCCCGGCUAACUUCGUGCCAGCAGCCGCGGUAAUACGAAGGGGGCUAGCGUUGCUCGGAAUUACUGGGCGUAAAGGGCGCGUAGGCGGACAGUUUAGUCAGAGGUGAAAGCCCAGGGCUCAACCUUGGAAUUGCCUUUGAUACUGGCUGGCUUGAGUUUGGGAGAGGUGAGUGGAACUCCGAGUGUAGAGGUGAAAUUCGUAGAUAUUCGGAAGAACACCAGUGGCGAAGGCGACUCACUGGCCCAAUACUGACGCUGAGGCGCGAAAGCGUGGGGAGCAAACAGGAUUAGAAACCCUUGUAGUCC